This 341-nucleotide unclassified non-coding RNA is filed under the name soil metagenome. RNAcentral's name for it is "partial contains 5.8S ribosomal RNA, internal transcribed spacer 2, and large subunit ribosomal RNA". The stretch from base 1 to 120 matches the Rfam family "5.8S ribosomal RNA", at positions 35 to 154 of the family's 154-position model. The record is from RNAcentral.
GAUGAAGAACGUAGCGAAAUGCGAUAAGUAGUGUGAAUUGCAGAAUUCAGUGAAUCAUCGAAUCUUUGAACGCACAUUGCGCCCUUUGGUAUUCCAAGGGGCAUGCCUGUUCGAGCGUCAUUUGUACCCUCAAGCUUUGCUUGGUGUUGGGCGUCUUGUCUCUAGCUUUGCUGGAGACUCGCCUUAAAGUAAUUGGCAGCCGGCCUACUGGUUUCGGAGCGCAGCACAAGUCGCACUCUCUAUCAGCAAAGGUCUAGCAUCCACUAAGCCUUUUUUUCAACUUUUGACCUCGGAUCAGGAAGGGAUACCCGCUGAACUUAAGCAUAUCAAUAAGCGGAGGA